GGGGAUGUAGCUCAGCUGGCUAGAGUGCUUGACUGGCAGUCAAGAGGUCGUGGGUUCGAGUCCCAUCUUCUCCACGA
Molecule: transfer RNA, 77 nt
Filed under: Constantimarinum furrinae
Lineage: Bacteria; Pseudomonadati; Bacteroidota; Flavobacteriia; Flavobacteriales; Flavobacteriaceae
Description: Altibacter sp. ALE3EI tRNA-Ala
Rfam family: tRNA
About the family: Transfer RNA (tRNA) molecules are approximately 80 nucleotides in length.
Source: RNAcentral